AUUGAACGCUGGCGGCAGGCCUAACACAUGCAAGUCGAACGAGUGGCGCACGGGUGAGUAAUGUCUGGGAAACUGCCCGAGGGGGGGGGAUAACUACUGGAAACGGUAGCUAAUACCGCGUACACCCUGAUGUGCCCAGAUGGGAUUAGCUUGUAGGGGAGGUAACGGCUCACCUCGGCGACGCUCCCUAGCUGGUCUGAGAGGAUGAUCAGCCACACUGGAACUGAGACACGGUCCAGACUCCUACGGGAGGCAGCAGUGGGGAAUAUUGGACAAUGGGCGCAAGCCUGAUGCAGCCAUACCGCGUGGGUGAAGAAGGCCUUCGGGUUGUAAAGCCCUUUUGUUGGGAAAGCGGUACCCAAAGAAUAAGCACCGGCUAACUUCGUGCCAGCAGCCGCGGUAAUAC
Molecule: ribosomal RNA, 406 nt
Filed under: uncultured bacterium
Lineage: Bacteria
Description: partial 16S ribosomal RNA
Rfam family: Bacterial small subunit ribosomal RNA
Source: RNAcentral